Molecule: long non-coding RNA, 20845 nt
Filed under: Setaria viridis
Lineage: Eukaryota; Viridiplantae; Streptophyta; Magnoliopsida; Poales; Poaceae
Description: long non-coding RNA (SVIR_LNC003726)
Source: RNAcentral
UAAUUUUGAUGAAGAUUAGGGGGUUACUUUAGUUUAUUUUAUAUAAUGACAGAGGUGGGUAAUUUAUAUAUAGAUUUAGGGGGUUACUUUAGGCUAUUUUCAUAAUGGCAUAGGUGGGUAAUUUUUUAGAAAACAUAAUAGAUCCAAUGGCUAUGAUGAUUUGAAUCUGUCGAUUGAUGGUCGGAUGUUUUGCUUUUUUGUGAGAAUUUCUAGGAUUUCUCUCUUUUUCUAAAGUGUCCACCUAGGAAUCUUAGGUGGCUUCAUCUGGAGGCUUCAAAAGGAGCCUCCAAUUAGUAAUAGUAAGAUGGACUAUAACGAGGUUAUUAAGCACAAAUUCAAACAGAUGACAUCCAUGAGUAGUGCAACAAUUGAAUCCCGAAACUUCUUUUUUUGUUUAACUUCACGUAGUUAAAGCACCACCGCAAGUUGUAGUUCCACGAAUGGAUGAAACAUUGCACGCCCGCGCCGUGAUAGUCGCUAGCCCCACUAACUCUAUAUAAAAGAGCAUGUGAAGUGAGAUGAUAAGCUAGUGUAAUAGCCGAGAGAUCGAUGAACGGGCAACAUACUCACAUAGGCCACUGGCCGCUCCUGUGGCAUUGAAGUGACACCUAGGCCUUGGAGGCAUCGGAAGAUCUCCCACUAGUGGAUGAAAGAGCUCCAGGCCGCCCGCAUAUGGCACGCAGCAUCGCUCGCGCAUUGCUGCUGGCCACCCACGCGCGAGCAUUUCUAAGGCAAUGAGGACUGAGCACUUAGCUUGCUUCCUGCUCUGCCUACAAGCUGAGCAUAGUUUGCAGCAGGCAUCUGGUUCCCCUACUCUUCUUCUUACGCACAUUUCUACCGGUAGGCAUCCACACUUGAUUGUGUAUUGUUCCCUCUUGCUCAAGCUUCCUCUGCACGUACGCCUUGGUUCUCCUUUGGUAUAGUGGGGUGAGUGUAGCAGUAGGAUAAAUGUAUAUUGGUCUGAGGAUAAAUGCAUGGAUGUGUAACCAUCUAUAAAAAUUCAGAGGAUAAAUGUAUAUUGGUCAUUGACUGCAGUCUGCACUGCAUACCUCUAGGUGGCUUUUGGUUCUGGGCUGUCUGAUCAAACUAGAGCAACACUCUGAACAUCUGUCCUGAGACGACUAGGAAACAAGACGGUCCUAUAUUAACUAGCUAGGAGCCUAGAACUAGGCAAUUAAAAGCCUCAGUAUCCUCCUUUGCGAAGCAAUAAGAGAGAUUAUCACCCAAGAGAGGUUCUGAAUUUUCGAAUUGACAUUGAUGUAACAAUUAUGAACCUCGCAGAAUUUCGAUGAACAGUUGCAUUAUAUUACACAUGCGUGUAUGUUGCGCAGUGGUAGGUUGGUGGUGCAUUCUUUGUCAGUGUCACUUUAACAUGAUCUGUAAAUAACUGGUGACGAAGAAGAAGCCAAUGCAGCGAGCUGAGAAAUAUAGUGCAGAUCAUCGUCCCAUGGAGGCAUGCAGCUGCAAUGGCAUUGCCACGGAAUGUUGGCCUAGGAGGCUUCGGGAGCUCUUGCAUAACAUGAUCUCAGUACAUUGGUAAGCAGAUAAUUCCUCCUAACGCAUAUCGCCUAUUAUAUAUACAUUUUUCUUAUUUAGGAUGAUGAUCUUUUGGCUGAGAAUUUUGUAAGAAUUUGGCUGUGGGUCGCAGAGGCUGGUAUUCCAUUUUCUAAAAAAAACUAACCAAUCCUUACUUUUUGCAGCAUCAGCUACAGCACACCGUAGCAAUGUGUAAGUACCUUUCUCCCUAAAUCUAAAGUUCAUCCUUUUUUCGUACGAUGCUAAUCCGCCACUUGUGUCGUCAGAGGUUACGCGAUCCACACAGUUCCUUCACACGACUCGGUCAGGGCGAGCCAUAAUCUGUUUGAGUAGGUGGGAAGGCACAUUCUAUCGCCAGGCCACGCCUGCAACCAGAUUGAUCCAACGGUAUUAUGAGAAUCACUGUGCCGUGUGGCGUCAUGAUGUAUGGGUACGUUUCCGACUAUGGAUGCAAUGUAUUGGUCACAGCGCUGGGAAAUCCUGCAGCUUUGGGGUGCAUGUCAAGCUUCUCAUAUUAUAUUACUGACAGCCAACCAUGAUAAGAGGCCAUGGGUCGUCAUCAGCAGUGGAGGUCACUCGUUUGUAGGUGCACAAAAGGAAAGUGCACAUGAAGCUAGCUAUCUUUUUUGAACAUAAUCUGCUUGUCGCUGUCAUCAUAGAACUAGCAACGAAGUAGUUUGCAGAGAAACUUUAAUGGAUGGUUUGUCAUCACCGGAAAUUUCAACUUAUUAAAAAAUCCAACUUAAGCAAUGUAGAUUUGUUAUAUGGUUAAUAAUUGACGCAUCAUCCAGUAUCUUGUACGCUGCACUCUUGAGACAUUAGGAAUUCCUCGAUCAAAAAAGUGUGGUGGUGGAGCAAGCUGUCGGCUGGUCCAUGAUGCCGCCUGGUAGAUGCACAAUUCUUCUUGAUGGAAAGAGAUGAACUCUUCGUGGAGGCUACUAAAGUGCCUUGCUACUGUACAAGGCUUGCUGUUUGUUGUAUGUUCCAAACAGAGUUGCUUGGAUAAGUAUGGAGUGCAUCUAUCAUCUAUGGCAAGAUCAGACAUUGUCAGGAACUAUCAUCAUGAGUUAUUGUAGUCUGUUUCUUUCCAUCUAUAAAAGAAGAGGUGAAGGAGAAGAAGCUAUGACUUUUGCAAGUUGGUAGAUGAAUGUGCUCAGUAUUCAUGGAAGGUGCUCCAUUGGGAUUGCUGUUUCACGUAGGCCUAGGAGGCACUGGGAUAUCUUGCAUUACUGUUACUAGUCUUACUACUCGAAGAAGUCCUGAUAAUUCAGCGAUCUAGCCUCACUUCCUUGAUAGGUGCUGGUGUACCCGCACUUCAUCCCUCACUUCCUUGAUAGGUGCUGGUGUACCCGUACUUCAUCGGUCAAUGCUGGCAAGUUUUUCACAACAAAACAUGGUAAAUCCAUAUCUCCUACCUUGAGGAACCUACUGCUCUUUUAUGGAACAAUUGAAAGAUGUCACAGCGAUGCUUGACGACGUAUGCUCUUUGAUAGUCUGUAGUUUUUAAAUGGAUACAGUGUCUGAUUAUGCAGCUACUGACCUACCUCUGCACCGCAUGGAUGUAUAACCAUGUAUACGAGUUCAGAGGACAAUUACAUAAUGGUCACGGCACUGUACUGCAUGCCUCUAUGUGCCCUUUGGCUGUCUGAUAAAUCUAGACGAUGGCUCAAUGACUCAUCCUGAGACUAGGAAACAAGACGGUCAUAACUUGGAGUAGGCAAUUGAAAACCUUAGGAUCUUUGCGAAGCAGGAAGAGAUACAACACGAUGGAAUCAUUCAUCACGUAAAGCUCCCUAUGAGUACUUAAGCUUGCUGUUCUGACAUGAACGUAAAAGUUCUUUCAUCUAGUUAAUCACUAAUCCAGAUUUAGUUACCCGUACGUAGUGACAGUUGCUGUCACCGCCUCCACAGUAGGAAUUUGGCUUCAAGUCCUUAAUUUUUCCCUUUAGCCCCUUAAUUGCCUCAAUGACAAUGUUGAAUGAAUGCUAAAUCAUUUUGUAAUUAUCACUACUACAUAUAGCUAGUUUGUCUUGCAAAUGGUGGGUGUGUAAUAAAGUUGGAGUAACUACUUGUGGCGUCUCCAGGUCAUCAAGGUGCACCUUUGAGAAUGAAUAUGACUGCAGUUGCGGAGCUCAACUUGUUGCAUGGGUUCAGAAAGGAGUCAUAUCUGGCACCCUCGCAGUUGUACUUGAACUCCUGCUUAGGUUCAGAAAGGAGUAGAAGCGAAGUUAUGUGUCAAUAUUUUGCUCUGUUUAGGUCCAUAAUAGCAGAGGCAGAGGAACACGAUGUGCAGCACCAUCUCGUUUCGUGCUAAGACAGAUACAGCAUUCUUCUUGAUCGGCAUAGACAUGAACUGCUCGAGGAUCCAGUUCCAGUGUCUCGCAACGGAAAUAUUUAGGCCGGGGAACGUCAGGAGCUUGUGUGUUAGAAAAAACAUUUUGCAAAACGGCCGGUCCAAUUCAUCUUUUGCAAUGUUAUAUACUUUGUACCGAGGGAGUCAAUAAACUUAUGCUGCUUAGAUCAUAGGUGAAAGAAGAAUAAUUCCGUUUUUGUUUUGUCCAGAGCAAAGCUUUGUCUUUAGUGUUUUACCUUUCCGACUUUUUCACUCUUUAAUUUUUUGAUAAUAUAAAUAAAUUAUUAUCUUAUUCCCUGAAUAAAAAGCUGGCUUUUAAAUUAAAGGGACCUGUCCAAGAAGUUCUGGAUCUGGUUCGUCCCUAAUUCUUCGAGAUGGAAGUGUGGGAAGGUUGACGGCAUUUAGUUGAGCUAUUGUGUCUCAUUUUUUUAUUAUAAAUUCAGAGCUUCAGCCCACUUUAAUUGUCAUAUUUCGAGUCUUAAUUUUGCAUGUAUCUUGGAGUAAGCGCUCUGCCAAGAAAAAGUACGUCGUGGGUAGUACUCUGUUUAUGACUCUCUCGUGGUUUUCUAAGUUACGGAGAAGACCUUCCGAUCCCGGCCAGCUGUGCCAUUUGGCUUCAACAAGCAGCCAUGGCCAAUAAGCUCAUUCUCCAGUUUAAUUGUUGCUCUAGCGGAAUACAACAUGGCCAAUAAGUUCAUUCUCCAUGCCAGUGACGAGACUCGAUGUGAUCUGGCGUAACUCAACCUCAGAUUCACAGCUGCACGUACGCUAGUAUGUGCUCCAUGUAGAAUUGUAGAUGUAGCAGUGCAGGUUCAUAGUAUCUCGCUCACGAACUCCAUUAGGAUGAAACAGGCACAUCUCACAACGGCUGUAGUUGAUGAAGGGAGCGUUGCAGCAACUGAACUGCUUCAUCGAGGAGGUACUUUCCAUGUUGUCACUGUCAGCAGGAAGCAAUGGUUAGCGUAGCACCUCCACAAUUUUUAAGUAAUUAAGCUGACAUAGUUUCUAUCUAACUUUCCGAAGGCAAUAUGAACAGGGCAGGAACUGCCUACCAAGAAUAACCAAUGUAGCACAAGAGUUCCCAAUGCCUCACAAGCCGAUGUACCAAGCAAAACCAUAGAAUUGUUGGUCCAUAUCCAUAUCAGUUACGUUCCUUGAGGAACAGGCUUCAGCCCCUUUCACCUGCUCUUUUAUGGACCAAAUGAAACAUGUCACAAUUAUGGAUGAGCAUGCACUGCUGGACUGCAUGUAGUUUCAGUGGGUGAGAAUAAUGUGCAGCUAAAUUAUUGCGCCCUACACCUGUACUGCAUGAAUGUUCAACCAGCAACCGUACAAAUUCAGAGAAUAAAUGAAUGCAUGGUUAUCAUGCCUCAAACUAGAUGACCACUCUGAACAUCUAUAUAUCCUCAGACUAGGAAGUAAAAUGGUCAUAACUCGAGCUGGGCAAUUGAUGAAAACUUUUUGAUCCCUCUUACCAUUGCGAAACAGGAAGAGAUAUAACAAUGGAAUCAUUAUUCAGUCGUAUGUUGAAUCCAAAUACUUAAGAAUCUGAAAGAUAUCAGUCGCCAGUAGUAGUACGUUGUAGUUUAUUUAAAGCCACUAGUCCAUCAACCCAUGCUCCCCACGAGCUAAUAUUUUUAAAAGAUAUUGUAUUUGAAAAUUAAUUAGAAAUUAAAAUCCAAGAUAAUAAUUAAAAUUAUUUACCAACUAUUCUCUCAGUUUUUUCAAUACUUCAGCGUAAUACUUAUAUAGAUAUGUACUUAUCUUUAUCCAUUUGUGAUUAAUUUUUAAUUAGUAAUUGCUCUAUACACUGUUUUAUCCACAUUCACACUUUUUCAUUUUGUAUCGCACUUCCAUACAUUGUGUUUAGCAUAAAAGUGAAUAUUUUUCAUCAUUUCCUCACGCACAUGUAAGAAUGGUCUACAUGGUGACACUCAUCAUGCGUAUAUACCUUAACUUAGUAUUUCUAUAUUAAUAACGACAUAAAUAGGUAAUUUAGAAUCAUAUAUUACUUUACUUUUGGACAUUUCUUUAUGAUGCACAUGAAGAUAAUUAGAUUAAAAUUUUGAUGUUUACACUUUUAAUAGCAACAUACAUGAGUAAGUUAGGUACUGAUUUAAUUAGAAUGGCAUUUUAAGUUAUUCUUUAUAAUAAUAUGCAUGGGUAAAUUGAAUGAAGAUAGUGGGGUUACUUUAAAUUAUUUUUUUAUAAUUGCAGAGCUCACUAAUUUAGAUAUAAGUUUAGGGUUUAUUUUAUAAUAUUUUCAUGAUAAUAGUGAUGGGUAACUUUUUAGAAAAUAUAAUAGACUAAUGACUAUGAUUAUUAGAGUUAAACAUGAUUGAUGCUUGAUAUUUAUGCUUUUGUUGAGAAUUUCUAGGCUUUAUCUUUUUUUAGCGUGUCUUAUGAGAACUAAUGUGGAGUCUCCGAUGGAAAAAAGAAAGAAUCCAUUGCUACAAAACUAUUACAUUGAGCUACUUCUCAUUUGUUAAAUAUUCGAACACAACACUUAUAUAAAUAUAUACUUAUUAUCUGCAUAUGAUUGUGAUAUAUUUUAGUUAGUAAUUACUUAUAACGUUUUCAUCUACAUUUAUAAUAUUCAACUUUUCACUUUGCAUCGCAUGUACGCGCUUGAAUAUGUUUAAUGGACCCUAAGUUUGAGCUAUAUCUUCCUCCAUAUCUUUAUAAAUGGAGACACAUAUUAUACGGAUAUACCUUAAUUAUUAUAUAAUAUACCUAAGAAAUAUACAAUUUAUUUAGAAUCAUAUAUUGGUGUAUAUUUUAUUCUUUUAAAUAAUGGCAUAUGUGGGUAAUAUAGAUGCAAAUUUAAGAGGUUACUGUAAGUUAUUUUUAAAUAUUAGUGGUGGGCAAUUUAGUUACAAAUUUAGGGGGUUAUUUUAAAUUAUUUUUAUAAUGGCAUGAGUGGGUAAUUUUGAUGAAGAUUAGGGGUUACCUUAGUUUAUUUUAUAUAAUAGGAGAGGUGGGUAAUUUAGAUAUAGAUUUAGGGGUUACUUUAGGCUAUUUUCAUAAUGGCAUAGGUGGGUAAUUUUUUUAGAAAAUAUAAUAGAUUCAAUGACUAUGCUGAUUUGAGUCUACUUAUGGCUAGAUGUUUUGCUUUUUAAUGAGAAUUUUUAGGAUUUUCCUCUUUUUCUAACGUGUCCACCUAGGAUCCUAGGUGGCUUCACCUGAGACUUCAAAAGGAGCAUCCAAUUAGUAAUAGUAAGAUUCGAGACCGAAAGGGGCAGUUCAUGAUUGAACAUGCGGCUGUAGGUGUAUGUUUAUCGUAACUGAAGAUAAAGAAUAAUGUAAUGAAAUAGAAUCAAAUUUUACGUAACUGGUCUCUUUUGCAUUGGUUUAUAAAAUAGCAGACGAGGGGGCACAGCGAUUACUACAAGUUGAGAGCCGUGAUGUUUCCCUCUUCGUUCUUUCUUUUCUUGUCAAAGAGGUGAAAUAUUUUUGUUUGAUGGACUAUGUUUCGCAUAUUUUUCUUCCAAAAAAUAUAAAGAAAUUAUAGCAUCCUUCCUCCUUCCGUUCCAGAAAAAAGAACGAUAUUGUUCUUUGUUCUUUUUUUAGUUGACCAACCUGUAACAAACAAAAACUAAAUAGGGAAGCUGUCUCUUUAACCAAUAUAAUCCUGAUGAAGAAGUAAAAUCAGCACACAUACUUUUUAUUUUAGAUCUACCAUACUUAAUCAGUUACAGCCAAACAUCCAAUCCACCGGUCAUAUAUCUAAUGUGUGUUCUUUGGUCACGAUGCAGUUAAUUUUUUGUGAAUAAGGAUAUCAGUACUUUUUUCUUAAAUUGAAUUGUAACCCUACGCCACGCCUACGUGCUACGUCUUCAAUUGAAAGUUUUUUUCUAGUUUAGAAGUUAUCUCUCUUUAAGCAUGUAAAAAUUUAAUGUUUCUUAACUUUGUCCUGAAUCAAACUGAACUCUUGUAUGAUUUCUGCUUAGAAUUAUUUUUGUUGCUGUGUUCAAGAAUUUUGAAAUGACAAUUAAACUUGAUAUUGGCAGCAGACCAACUUGAUACUUCCGUCAUUAUUAAACUUGAUAUUGGUGCAGAUCUGAUUCAUUUAAUUUGGUCACUUGGACAGGUACAAAAAUACAAUAGGAUGGAGCUAGCAGAAAGUGUCACAUGUUGCUACAGUUCAACUUCAAGGAGAAUUUCAGUUCCUUUAGUUUACUUGACUUCAGAUAACUAACUGGGAGCCAUGUACACAAGGAGUUAUAGAGUUUAAAGCAAUCUGUGAUAUGAAGUUCUCUUUGGAUCGGAAAGAAUGUAUGUAUAUUUAGUGGAGAAUACAUUUAUUCAUUUUAUUCCAAUAGCUUGAUGGGUGUCAAUGUGAUCUUAAUGUACAAUGCAAAUAAUUGUUGUGGACAUGUAUAUUGAACUAUCAGACAGAUAGUUUUGAUGGAGCUGAGAAAUUCUACCUACGGGUGCAGAUGUGCAUAUUUAUAUUAUUUUUUUAACUAAAUGUGUGUCGUCAAGAGUUCACCCGUGCUUAGCAAGAAUCUUCAAUGCCACACUUACAUAGAGUUCACUAGGUGACGCAAGAGUUCCCAAUGCCUCACAGGCCUAUGUACACCAUGGCAAAGAUUAGAAUAUAAUAGUCCAUCCAUAUGUCUUACCUUGCAGAACCUACUCGUUGUCACCUGCUCUUUUAUAGAAUGAAUUGAGGAUUUAGUAGAAAAUAGUAGAUUCUUCUUGGGUUUUCUAAGUUUUAUAAAGGUCAUCUGACUGCCAUAAACACAUGUCUAGCGCUACUCCCAUUUAACAAUUAUGACCCAGGAGAAUUUCCAUGAACGCAUGCAGCUACAUUAUAUUACACGGGUGUGUACGCUGUGCAGUGGUAGGUUGACGGAACUAGAUGGUGCAUCCUUGUCAGUCACAUAACAUGGUUUAUAAAAUAACAGGUGUGGCAAAAUAAGCCAACACAGCGACGAGCUGAGAGAUACAAUACAGAACAUACCCAUGGAGGCAGCUGCAAUGGCUUUACCAUUUACCAUGGAACGUAGGCCUAGGAGGCUUCAGGAUCUCUUGAAUCACAGAUUCGCUGUUUCUGACUGGCUCCUAACCAAUCCUUGUAUCUAAGAGCAACUCCAAGAGACUGCUAAUCUUACCCCCAAUACCUUCCCCAAUUUUUUAGCAAUGCUAAAAAACAGCCUGCCACCGCGUAUAUUUUAGCGUUGGCGUUCCUCCCCCAAUCCUGAUUCCCGCACGCCCGCCCGUCCCUUCCGAUGGGCCCAAUACGAUGACGUGGCCUGUGUUUGAAAUAUUGGGGACUAUUUAUUAGCGAUCUGCUGUGGACUGAUAUGUUUUUUGGGGGAAAUUUUUUUUGGGAGAACCCCCAAUACAUAGUUUUGGAGAAGAAUUUUUUAGGAUACUCUUGGAGUUGCUCUAAUCCUUCCGUUCUAGGAUGCUAAUCCGCCUUCACUCACAAUUCGCGUGAUCCACCUCUGCUUUAUAUACAAUGCUGUCUAUGCGGGUCGAUCAUCUCCUUGAACAGGUGGGAGGGCACAUUCUGUUGUUAUAAGCGGAUUAUAGGUGAAAAACUGAAAAUACCACCAAAAAACUUUGCUUAUUUCUCCCUUGCCACAGAAACCGCUUAGCACAUAAGCAAGAAAACAACAUGCGCUCAUCCCGCUUAUCUCCUAAGCGGCUCGAGCCCCGCGUUUCAAAUAAGCAAAAAACUUAAAAAAAAGAUGGUCAUGCACCUAGUUUAGUUUAUCAAGGCAGCAGAUUAUCCACACAGUGGCUUAUUGAUAAAGCUUGCUUCUCGGCCUGCUAAUGGAGGCUCUACCCGCCCCUACCCGCAACACCUGAGAUAAUUAAGCAGAUCCGCCCCCACCUAAAAACCUAAUUAAUCAACCCUCCCCAACCCGCCCCACUGAUAGUGGGUUUUGCCGUGGGUUGCUGCGACAGGACAGGUGCGCACCACGGCCGGUGAGCACGGGCGCAAGGAAGGGGCAGCGGCGGCGACCGCAGGGACAGGCCGCCCCGGCCAGCGAGCAGGAGCGGCAGGGAAGGGGCAGCGGCGGUGGCCGUGAGGAUGGGCCUCCCCGACCGGUGAGCAGGAACAACAGGGAAGGGGUGGCGGCGGCCGGCGGGUGCGAGGACAGCCCCUCUUCUCCUUCGGCGGUGCCCCUCCUGGCCGGCGAGCACGAGCGCAAGGAAGGGGCGGUAGCGUCCGACGGGCGUGGGGACGGGCCCCUCUUCUCCUUCAGCGGUGCCCCUCCAUGGCGCGGGCGACGGCCACGACUGCCUCAGCAGGCACGUGUGGGGACGGGGCCGGCGGGGUGGUACGGGACCUCGCCGGUCUAGAAGAGGUGCUCGAAGGCGUGGAAGGAUCCCGCGGCGGGGCCCAAGAGGAUGAGGAUGCGGUGUGUGGGGGAACCGCUGCCGCUGGCGGCGCAAGGAGAAGGCGGCGAGCAACAAGGACUCCGCCGAGAUGUUGGCGGCGGCACCACCCGCGCGCAAGAGAAAGGUCCCGUAUGACGAGAGCUCCGGCGUGACGGCAGCGCCCGCGCCCAAGAGAAGCAACGGUUGGCGGUGGCGACGUCGCCUUUCUGCGGGACUCGCGCGGCACCCCUAUCGUGCGAGGUAGGACCGGUUCCAACCCUGUUCAACCCACACUUUCAGUAUACCCAACCUGUCCCGACCCGCUAGCAUCUGGAACCCAUUAUCACCCAUCCACAGGAACCCGUGCGAAGACCCGCCCCGAAAUACCCACUUCAACCCACCCCACUAGCAGGCCUAUUCUCAAAUAAGCUAGUUCGAGAAAAUUAAGCUGAUCAGUAUAGUGUUACGAAGAGCAGUGUAGCGUUGCGGUGGCAUACUGGCAUCAGGGAUUUUGUAGCACAUCAUCAUCGAUUUCAGCUGUGAGCUGAGGACCACGUCGAGACCCUUACCCGUACUCCCUCCGUUUAAAAAAAACCACAAUUAUGGAAUUUAAAUUUUGUCCCAGAAAAAAUACUAUUCCCUUUUGGUGGGCCUCCCACGGCCAAUCCUUAUUAUCUGAACGCCUCUUGCAGCUGUUCUCAAGCUAUGGCUGUCCCUCUCGCUUGCAGCAGUCAAUGGGCUCCUCGUUGACACUGCCCUGCAACGUGAUGGCCAACUCUAGCGUAGACGCCAUGCUGUUCCCGACUGAGGAUGGGAUCACAGAUCCGACCCGUGCUGCAAGUAUUAGUGUAUAAAUGAAAUGCUAACAUCUUCCUCUAAGUUUAAGUUCUUCGGUUCACUGCAGUAGAGGGCUUCACCCGCUCCGGCUUAUCCACGCCGGACCCAAAGCUAGCUAACAAGGAGACCACCGGCUUAUAUGUACCAGCUAUAGUACACACCGGCGCGUUUAAUAUCCAUGCCGGGGCUAAUCAACGGCACUAGCACGAAUCAAAAUCAUUACAAGUCUUGUUGUUUGUUUUUUCUUUCCGAUUUCCCAUUCUUAUUUUCCUUCAAAAAACUAUAAAUCAAUCAUAUCUCACAUUCCCUGAACUAAAUACUGUCACUUAGAGUGUUUGUUUGUCCUAUCAUAGAUUUUGUGGAGUGGGUCAUUCCUACUUCCUGAAAUUCUUGGAGAUGGAAGUGUGGGAAAAUUGAGCUAUAUAUUUUCCAUUAUUAAUUUAUAGAAAAAUGCAGAGCUUUAAAUCCACUAUAGUUAUCGUACCGAGUCCUAAUUUUGCAUGUAUCUUGGAGGUAGAACUGCGUCAAGAAAAAUUCUCUGUUUGUCCUGUGGCAUUCGGCUUCAACAAGCAGCCAUCGACCACGUUCUCAUGCUUAAUUGCUGUCCUAGUCGACUGCGUGAACUCGGUGUGUGACCACUCCAUGCCGUGGGGUAGCAUGACACAACAGCACACAGGUAGUCUGGUAGGUCCUCUCCAAGUUGCGGCGGAGUGGCGAUGUGUAGAGGUGCAGGUUGUAGCAGAUCAGCUAACUCCUCUCCCAGUUAUUGUCACUACCAGCAAGAAGAAACAUAUAUCUAAUGGUUGCCGUAGCACGAUCCACCAUGCUUAGUGAGUAAGUUGGCAUUGUUUUUGUCUAGCUUUUAGAAGACAACAAGAACAGGGCAGGAGCUACCUACCAAUGUCACUUCGACUCAGUGUAGCACAAGAGUUCCCAAUGCCUCACAAGCCUAUGUACCAUAGCAAAGCCAUAGACUUGUUGGUCCAUAACCAUAUCUGCUACGUACCUUGCGGAACUGGCUUCAGCCCCUUGCACCAGCUCUUUUAUGGAGUAAAUGAAACAUGUCACAAUUACGGAUGAGAUGUACUAUUGGGCCACAUCUAGUUUAUUCAGUGGCCAGUGUAUACAGUCCAGCAAAAUUGCAUUUUCACCUACUAAUGUACUGCAUAUAUGAAUGCUUAUGUAGACAUCUUUUCGAACACAUUUAUGCACAAAAAUAAUAAUUACAUGGAAUUUAAAUAUUACAUGCACAUUUCUUUUACUUUUUUUCCAUUGUGUCCCUUGGCCUAUAUACAGAUAAGGGCUGCGUCAAGCUUCUAGUCCGGAGGGAGAAUGAACUCAGAGACCAUGGAGAGGGGCUGGUUUAUUAAGUGAACUCUAGAAGCUUGCUUUCAUGAUUUGGCAAGUCUGGGAGGCAUAGGGAAGUUUGGUUCCAGAGGGAAUCGAGGACUCAGCAAAUGGACCGUUAGAUCUGCCUAUGUAUACGCAGUCCUGAAGCCCCCCUGGUGGUGUUCUUGUCGAGAGGAUGUUUUGUUCCUCAACCAUUGAUGCGAUGCACAGAGAGACAAUGCUACAAAAUUCUCAGAAAUUGCAUGAUGGAUUCUGAAUAAGGACAUGAGUGAUGAGCAAAGAGAGAUCGCUAUGUUCAGGGCGAUGCAUGGGAUAAAUCGAAUGCAAGGCUCUAGUGUCUUUGCUAACAAUUUUAUCUAAGAUUAGACCAGAAUUGGUGUAGCUCAUUAAUCAGUCGGUUCCAACAGAGAACCAUGUGUCUCAUCAGAUACGUACAGAUGCAUGCGCGUUCACUUUGCAGAUCUCAUUAUAUCAAAGUAAGGCCCUAACAGGAGCUUAUGAUGCUUGGUACAACAGUUCUCUGGCUUCAGGUUUCCUGCGGAGAUGUUAGGGACUGUCACACAAUUCGAUGUUACAUCCUCACCCGACUGCCACAACUGAAGGUACUUAAAAGGCAUGCUUCCUUAUCCCAACUUCAUGCUGAAUCGCAGAAUGAAUUAAACAUGUGGGAAUUAAAUAUUGGACGAUUGCAUGACCAUGCAUAUGCAGUGGCAGGUGCAAAAAAAUCUUAUAAGACAUGCAUUGUCAUGUGUUAUAUGUAUGUAGUCACGGUAACAUGGCAUAUUAAAGAGGAAGCGAAGUAGAGGCAGUUGCUAGUACUACAAACCAGGGGAUGAAUCUGAUCAUGGAGGCUGCUUCAGUUCCUAUGGUAUGGACUUUGGACGUUGGUGUAGGAGGUAUCAGGGAAGAAAAUUAGACGCAGGACUCCUGCAACCGAGUCCUGGUGCAGGAUGGCCCCAGAUCAUGACGCGUGGGCAGCCUUCCCGAUUGAAUGCCCGCGCGAGGCGCGCGGAAGAUGAGCCAGCGCUGAAGAAGAAAAAAUAGACUGGCCAGAAAGACGAGCCCCUCGCGUGCGUGCCUCUCGAGCCGGCGGAAGACGAGCCGACGCUUAGCAGGGCUUCUCUGCGCCUGCAGGAGCUCCUCUCGCCUCAUGGCUCCAGAACGAAGGGUUACAGAAUCUGUUGCCACAGCUUCUCUGAUUCGUUUCACAAACAAAAUCUGGGAUAUUUCAUAAUCUGAAAAAGUUUAAAUCUAAAGAGUGGUAUGUGGAAGUGAUGUGUAAAAAAAAAAUGACAGGUCUAUAAAGUGUGAUGUGAUCCUUAUCAAACAAUAUAAAUGAGUUACAUGGUACCAACUCAGAUCCUCCGUUCAGCAGAAGUCUUGCAUGACGCAUGUGUUUCACACGGAACGUGUCUUGAAGUGUCCAGGGCGGCAUGUUCCAGGGCUAUAUGGGGUCGCGCAUUUCGAUCACGAACGCCCACGCAUGAGUCGGUAAGAGUCGGUUGCUUGUAGUUAAGCAACAUAGAGUCCGAAAACCCAUCCACUCUCACGUUGCCGCACAACUUGUGUGCGUGUUCAAGUGUUGCCCUGUGCUCUGGCGUGUGCAUCCACAUCGAACCAGACCUCGCCGUCGAUAUUUUAGUUUCUCCGACCACAUCUGACAACCUUUAUGUGUUUUUUCCUUUUUUGCAUCGUCACUAGAAAUUACAGAUUAUUCAAUUAUCCAACUUAAACAAUUAGAUGUUACGGUUAAUGAUUAUUGCAUCUUGUGCGCUGCACUAUUGCGAAAUCUUACUAUAUAUUACUAAUUGGAGGCUUCUUGUGAAGCCAGUGAAGUCACCUAGAAUCCUAAGUGGACAGUCUAGAAAAUGAGAGAAAUUCUCACAAAAAAAAGUAAAAUAUCUGACCAUCAAUUGAUAGAUUCAAAUCAUCAUAACCAUUGAAUCUAUUAUGUUUCUAAAAAAUUACCCACCUAUGGCAUUAUGAAAAUAGCCUAAAGUAAACUCCUAAAUCUAUAUCUAAAUUAUCCAUCUCUACCGUUAUAUAAAUAUAAAAUAAACUAAAGUAACACCUAAUCUUCAUCAAAAUUACCCACUUAUGCCAUUAUAAAAAUAAUUUAGAAUAACUCCCUAAAUUUGCAAUUAAAUUACACAUCACUAAUACUUAAAAUAUAACUUAAAGUAACCCCUUAAAUUCGAUGUAUAUUGCCCACAUAUAUCAUUAUUAAAAAUAACAUGAGGUAAAUCUAAAUUUAAUCCAAAUCACCUUAAUUAAAAAUAUACAUUGGUGUAUGAUACAAUAAUUAAGAUAUAUAUAUAUGAUGUGUGUCAUCGUUACUAAUGAUAUAGAGGAAGUGAUGAGAAGCGCUCGGGGGAGUCGGGAGGUGGCGGCACGGAGGAGAGGCAAGUCGGGGGGAGUCAGGAGGAUGGGGGUGGGGGCGGGAGAAGGAGUCGGGCCAUCGGGGGAGAAACGAUUUUCUAGUUUUAGGAUCGGAAUGUGUUGCAGGCUAAUGAUUUGGACGCUGGAAAGUUGAGAAACGACCGAUUCCAAUUCUGAGCGGAGCCAAACAUGCCGAUCUUAAAAACUAAUUCCAAUUCCACCUAAUUCCAACGAAACAAACAUGCCCUAAGAUUAAUUGAAAGAUCGUGGACUUAGGUAGGUCGAUUCCAAAAGAGAACCAUGUGUCUCCUCGUCAGAUACAUACAUCUGCAAUGCGUGCCUGGUACGGGCAUUCAGUUUGUCAGCUGUAAUUAUAUAUGCAAAAGUAGAGCCUACGUCCAUGAGCUGUACACAAAUUCUCUGGCUUCACGAUUCCUGGAGACAUGUUAAUAACUGUCUGUCCUGAAGAACAGUAUGAUUGGUUGGUUCCACGUCCAUGAAGUGGUAGGUGCAGGAAAUCAGAUAGGUCGCGGUCAUGAUAUAUAAAAGAGUAGGAAUCCAAGUAGCAGUGUUGCUAGUGCUAGCAACUAGACAUGAUCAUGGAGGCCGUUUCAGUGCCCAUGUUAUGGGUGUCUGGAUCUUGGUGUAGGAGGUAUCAGGAGCUCUUGCAUGGCAUAUCUGAUAGGUCGUGGUGAAUAGACAGCACCUUUGUUGAAAUAAACCAUGUGCCCUGGUUUUGUAGUUUGUUAGCAUGUCGGUUGCUCUCUUCACGCGCGCGCUUGCAGAGUUCCUUCAGCAGUCAAGUGCAGCAUUCCAAGGGCUGUGGGAUAGAAUCACACACUUCGAUCACGAACGUGGCAUGCAUGAUCAGGAACAUAAAGUCUGAAAAACCGCUGCUGCGUUGCAGAGCACAACUUGUGUGUGUGGUCAAGUGUUCCACAGUGUGCCCGCACGUGUGUGUCCACCACAAACCAGAGCUCACCGUAGAGAUUUUCUCUGGCCACUCCUGACAUCCUUGUGUGUUUUUUCUUUUUUCUUUUUUCCUUUUUGCAUCACUGGAAGUUUCAGCUUAUUAUUAAAAAUUCAACUUAAACAAUGUAGAUGUGUUAUAUGGUUAAUAAUUGUUGCAUCUGGAUACGCUGCACUCCACACUGUUGUGACAUUAGGAAUUCCUUGAUGAUCAAAACAGUGCGGCGGAGGCAGCUAUUGGCCGGCACAUGAUGCUGCCUGGUAGAUGUACAAUUUUUGUUGAUGGAAAGAGGCUACUAAAGUGCCUGGCUACGGUACUAAAGGCUUGCCGGUCGUUGGGUAGUUGAAACAGAUUUGUUUGGAUAAGUGCAGUGCAUCUGUGGCUAGAUCAGACAUUGUUAGGAACCAUCAUCAUGAGUAAUUGUAGUUAGUUUCUAUCCGUCUAUAAAAAAGGAGGUGGAGGAGUAGAAGAAGCUAUGACUUCUGCAAGUGGGGAGAUGAAUGUGCUCAGUAUUCAUGGAACGAAGGUGCUCCAUUGGCAUCACUGUAGCACGUAGGCCUAGGAGGCACUGGGAUAUCUUGGAUUACUGUAACUACUCCAAGAAGUGCUGAUAGUUCUGCAGUUUCAGCCUUAUCUCUUCCUUCUUGCAUUGCUGGUGUACUCGCACUUCAUCGAUCAAUGCUGGCUAGUCGAUCACAACAAAACAUGGCAAAUCCCUGGGACUUGCAGCAUGAAGAAGAUUGGAUCAGCGCUAAGUUUGAAGGAUGAAACGUCCCUCGAUCGCAGCUUAGGCCGCCUCUUGCUCUUCAGAUUAAAUGUUUAACCAUUCAUUUGCUGUGACAAGUCCUCCUCCAGCACGCUGGUGAGGGACAGAAAGUGAGGACCUUCGAUCUGACGUGCUGAUGAUCGAUAUGCUUCUAACGAUUCACGGAUGCAAACAACUAGAUUGGUUGGAUAAAGCAUAUUAUUAUGCAUCUUACUGACUUAUUACUGGUCUCUCAAGAGAAAACACACCGUAUAUUUUUUUAUUGCCGUUGAUACACAAUGUAUUUACGGAACUUAUAAUGAGGUUAAGCACAAAUUGAAACAGAUGACAUGCGUGAGUACUGCCAGAACUGAAUCCCAACAUUUGUUUGUUUGUUUUCUGUACUUAACUUGAUCACGUAGUUAAAGCACCACCUCAAGUUACAGUUGCACGAAUAGAUCGAUGGAUGUAACUGAUUCACACAUGUAACGACUUGAUUGUUUAAGUAACCAGAUCAUUAUGCAUCCAUGAAUCAGUUAGAACCAUACCAUCGUUACAAAUUAUAUAUUUGCAGAACAUAACCAGGAGAAGCACAAAUUCAAAUAGACGGCAUAUGCAAGAAUACCUACCAGAACAGAAUCCCAGUAUCAUUAUUUCUUUUGCUUAACUCCAUCAUGUAAUUAAAGCACCACGUUGCCAUUGUGUAAAUGAAGUAUAAAUUGUACAUCCAGGAUAUUGUAGUAAGGGGGUGUUUGAAUCUUUAUUCCAGAUUAAAAUUCAUGUCACAUCGAAUAUUCGAAGGUUAAUUAGGAGGACUAAACAUGAGCUAAUUAUAAAACUAAUUACACAGAUGGAGGCUAAUUCCCGAGACGAAUCUAUGAAGCCUAAUUAAUCCAUCAUUAGCACAUGUUUACUGUAGCACUACAUUGUCAAAUCAUGGACUAAAUAAACUUAAUAGAUUCGUCUCGUAAAUUAGCCUCCAUCUGUGCAAUUGGUUUUGUAAUUAGUCUAUGUUUAAUACUCUUAAUUAGUAUCUAAAUAUUCGAUAUGAUAGGAAUUUUAGGAGCUCCUAAAGAACCAAACGGGACCUAAGUCUAUUUUGCUGUCUAUAAAAGAGCAGAUGAACGAGAAGCUGGUGCCAUAACUGAGAGACGAACAAACUAGCCUCAGAGGCUGCCCCCUGGCCGCUUUGAUGUGACACCUAGGCCUCGGAGGCAUCAGGAGAUCUCCCAGUAGCCAGAAAUGGAGCCCCGGUAUCCAGGUCAGCUGUGCGGGAGCGUUGCUAUGAGUCAGAUCUACUUGUGUCGCAGAUGGUAGCAGGCAUCCAGUUCCCCUAGUAUGGAUUCUUACGGUCUUACCCACAUUUCUACCAGCAGCAUAUGGUUAGCUCUUGCUCAUCUAUGCUUUUCUCUUUUGGUAUAGUGCGUGUGAGGCAGUGAGGGUGGUAAGAACUGGUGGGGCGAUUGCUUCUGUAUACAUUAGAAGCAAUGUUAGAAAGGGGUUCUUCCCCAUAAACAAUCCCUGUUAAUACAAAAAAAAGCAAGCUAGCUUUACAAGGAUUCAGUAGACGGCUAGACACUCAAACAAACGUCUGUUUGCACUUGAUCUGCCAUUUAAUUUGUAAUAUUUUCUCAAAUUAUGUAUAAGAGCAAACGUUAACAUUUUACCCUGAAUUUCCACGCUAUAUAUUUCGUGUUAUCAGAUGGCUGGCACCAGCUAAAGCCUUGUUUGGAUACUAGUGGAUUGAAGUGGAAUGGGAGGGAUUGGAGAGGAAAUAAGUUUAUUUUAGACACAAUCCUCUUCGUUCCCUUCAAAUCCCCUUCUAGAUUGUUCAUCUACCUCCUGGUCUAAAUUCACUGAACUCAAAACUUAAUUAUGAAACAUUCAGUAUUCAGUGCGCAUUUAAUUUACCUGAACUGCAGACACAACAAUCUGAUGGAUUAGAUAGUACGUUCAUGGCGUUGUGUGUGUCCUUUUUGUUCGUACAAGAGCAGCUGAAGGAGCAUAAAACAAGGUAUCUCGCUGCAUGCUGAGAGAGACGAAAUAUUUCUUCUUGAUGGAACGACAAGAAUUGUUCUUAUUGGCCAUUCCCAGUGGCUCUCUUGCGAUUAGGCUUGGGAAGAAGCAGGUGCUCUUAUGUUACAGAAUGGCAUCAUUCAUGUCCGAUGGCAUUGCUUUCCUUCAAGUAAUAAUGGGGUGCGCGCGUCUCAUCUGAUUUCUUCAGAAUCGUAGUCCUAACACGUCCUGUGUUCCUAAUAAAGGUCCUGGUAGUUGCACGGAUGGAUUUUUCACUUAUCUUGGUCAUGUAAUUAAAGCACCACGUUGCAGUUUCACGGAUGUGACACUGGCCGCUCUAGUGGCUUUGAUGUGACACAUAAGCCUCGGAGGCAUCAGGACAGGCAGGAUAGCGGCUCGUUGCCGCAGUCCAGCGACGGGCGAUAGAACAGGAGUUGCUAUAAGGCACUGACGACCAAGCACUUGCUUCCUGCUUCGUCUACUUGUUGCCCUACUGAUCAGACUUCUUCAGUUCUUCUGCAUGUCAUGUUUCUCGAUCUCGAUCUCGAUCUCUUUUGGCACAGUGGCUGUGAGGGUAAUAAUAACGGGUAGCAGGGCCAUUGCUCUUGUAUGCAUAUGAUGUUUCAAAUUGAAUGCAACUAGUCCAUCAACCCGUGCUCCCGCACGGGUUAAUAUUUUUAUAAGCUAUUGGAUUUGAAAAUUAUUUAGAAAUUAAACUCUUAGCUAAUAAUCAAAAUUAUUUACCUUCUACUCUCUUAUUUUUCCAAUACUUCAACAUAAUACUUAUAUAGAUAUGUAUCUAUCUUUGUCCAGUUGUGAUUGAUUUUUAAUUAAUAAUUAUUCUAUGCACUUUUUCAUUCAUAUUCAUACUUUUUCCAUUUUGUAUCGCACCUCCAAUCCUCUAUACAUUAUGUUUAGCAUACAAAUCAAUAUUUUUCAUCGAUUCCACACAUACAUGUAUACGUCUAAUGGUGCCACUCAUCAUGUGUAUAUACUUUAAUGUAGUAUUUUUAUAUUAAAAAUGACAUAAAUAGGUAAUUUAGAAUCAUAUAUUAGUUUAAUUUUUGAUAUUUCUAUAUGAUGCACAUGAAAAUAAUUAGUUAAGAUUUAGGUAUUUACUUUAGGUUAUUUUUAAUAACGACAUAUGUGGGUAACAUAGAUAAAAUUUUAGAAUGACAUUUUAAGUUAUGCUUUAUAAUGAUGUGCAUUAGUAAAUUGGAUGAAGAUUACGGGGUUACUUUAGAUUAUGUUUUAUAAUAGCUGAGCUCGGUAAUUUAGAUAUAGGUUUAGAGCUCAUUUUUGAAUAUUUCCACAAUGACAGUGGUGGAUAACUUUUUAGAAAAUAUAAUAAAUCAAUGGCUAUGAUUAUCAGAGUUUACAGGAUUGGUGUUUGAUGUUUUUAAUUUUUAUGAGAAUGUCUCUUUUUUCUUGCUUGUCUCAUGGGAACUAAUGCGGAGUCUCCAUUGGAAAAAAAUGAGAUUACAUUGCUACAAAACUAUUACCAUAAGCUACCUCUCGUUUGUUAAAUAUUCGAACACAAUACUUAUGUAGAUAUUAUACUUAAUAUCUUUAUCCAAUUGUGAUAGAUUUUAGUUUGUAAUUACUCUAUAAUAUUUUCAUCCAUAUUUAUAAUCUUUAACUUUCCACUUUGGACCGCAUGUAUGGGCUUGAAUUUGUUUAAUGAAUCCUAAGUUUGAGUGCUCAUAAAUUUAAUAGAACUAUCCAUAAUGCUAAAUAUAAUUUUAGCAUAGAAAUGUAUAUUCCCAUAACUUUAUAUCCUUAUAAAUGGUGACACACAUCACACAUCAUGCGUAUAGACCUUAAUUAUUAUAUCGUAUACCAAUAGUGUAAGAUAUAGACGAUUUAGAAUCAUAUAUUGUUGUAUAUUUUUAAUUAAGGUUAUUUGAUUCAAACGUAGGGUUACCUCAUGUUAUUUUUAAUAAUAGCAUGUGUGAGUAAUAUAGAUGCAAAUUUAAGGGGUUACUUUAAGUUUUUUAAAGUAAUAGUGGUAGGCAAUUGACUUGCAAAUUAGGGAGUUAUUUUAAAUAUUAUUUAUAAUGGCAUAAGUGGGUAAUUUUGAUGAAGAUUAGGGGGUUACUUUAGUUUAUUUUAUAUAAUGGCAGAGGUGGGUAAUUUAUAUAUAGAUUUAGGGGUUACUUUAGGCUAUUUUCAUAAUGGCAUAGGUGGGUAAUUUUUUAGAAACAUAAUAGAUCCAAUGGCUAUGAUGAUUUGAAUCUGUCGAUUGAUGGUCGGAUGUUUUGCUUUUUUGUGAGAAUUUCUAGGAUUUCUCUCUUUUUCUAGAGUGUCCACCUAGGAAUCCUAG